Long non-coding RNA from Daphnia carinata, 529 nucleotides. RefSeq lists it as uncharacterized. The transcript is spliced from 3 exons. The record is from RefSeq and is a predicted model, not a curated record. NCBI's taxonomy places the organism in Eukaryota, Metazoa, Arthropoda, Branchiopoda, Diplostraca, Daphniidae.
CCACAAUUUUGGCGCGAAAAAAGUAAACUUUCUUUUGUUUUUGACGCCCUCAUUUCUUCUUCUGAAUAGCUAUGAAAGGCAGAACAAUCAAAAUUUAUCUUGGACAUUUACAUAAAAAGAAUGGAACAUUAUCCUGCAAAGCACUUUCUUCCAAAUGAUCAACGGCAUGGAUCUUAUUCACCAUCUGAAGAGCUAAAAAUUAAAUAAGAGCUGCUUAGGAAGUUAGCUGCAGUAACGAAGAUGUGUCAUCACAGUACAAUAAAUGUAAAAGCAUAUUCUUCAGCAAAAUAAGUGCCUUGCAUUAUUUACCACUACUGAACAAUUUUGAGCUGAUGAUACCUGGUAUUAUCGCUUUCCUUGGUCUGCGCAGAAUCUUGGAUGUGAAAGUGUAUGCAUCUUUGGUCCAAUGAAAUGAAAAAAAACUCAUUAAGGUAUACCAAGAAAAUGCUAGAUAUAAUUAGUAUGCAAACCUGUCUAGAAUCCCCAGCAUAUUCAAAAACAUCCGGAAUCCCAGAGACAAAUAAUUGCA